AGAGCGGCGGACGGGUGAGUAACACGUGGACAAUCCGUGCCCCCCGGCCCGGGAUAGCCCAGGGAAACCUGGAUUAAUACCGGAUGAGACGGGACCCGCGAUGGCGGGACCCGGAAAGGCGCUGCGGCGCCGCCGGGGGAUGAGUCUGCGUCCCAUUAGCUAGACGGCGGGGUAACGGCCCACCGUGGCGACGAUGGGUAGCCGGCCUGAGAGGGUGGACGGCCACAUUGGAACUGAGACACGGUCCAGACUCCUACGGGAGGCAGCAGCUAAGAUCUUCCGCAAUGGGCGAAAGCCUGACGGAGCGACGCCCGCGUGAACGAAGAAGGCCGUGAGGUUGUAAAGUUCUUUUCGGGAGGGGGAACAACCGUGGCAGGGAAUGGCCGCGGGAUGACGUGAAUCCCGGAAUAAGCCCCGGCUAACUACGUGCCAGCCGCUGC
Molecule: ribosomal RNA, 440 nt
Filed under: uncultured bacterium
Lineage: Bacteria
Description: bacterial SSU rRNA
Rfam family: Bacterial small subunit ribosomal RNA
Source: RNAcentral